CCGGAAGCGUGUGUAAGACCUGCGAGUGUGGGGGGGACCUCUGCCUGGUUUGUGACUUCUGCCAAGCUUUCUAGGUGGCCCUGGGUUCUUUCUGACUUCGGUCCUGUUGACGCACGGAAGUUAUUUGUGGUGGGCUUGUCAGUGAACUGAUGCAGAGUUUUCAGCAGCGAGCUCAUCCUGAGGAGAAUGGAGAAGCAUGGGGACGCACCUUCUAACUGGGAGUAUGAACGGACUGUGGGCUUUGGAGGACGGCUUGAAAGUAAGUGUGAUGAAAACUGGUAUUUGUUCACAUUUUUAAAUCAUGCACAAUAUAAGCAAUUUUACAGACAAGGAAUGUGUACAUCACAUUUCACUAACAGUAUCACAUACAACUUGAUGUGAAAAUGGUCUUUCGGAACCACGUAUACGUAACUGAAAUGUAGCUCUCGGUGUGUGCAUACACUUUGUUGCACAUCACUGUGUACUCAAUUCCUAAAUGCAAUUUCACUGAACAUGUCUACAAACCUGAGCACGGAACAAAAGUUGUACUUAUUUUUUAAUUUCAGAUAGGGUCUCACUGUGUAGUUCAGGUUGGCUUUGAAGUUACUCUAUUGCCAAGGCUGGCCUGGAUCUUCAGGCAAUUUUCCUGCUUCAGCCUCCAAAGUGCUACGAUGACAGGUAGCCGCAGGUAUCUAGCUGCUUGGUAUUGUUUUUUUUUUUUUUAACAUUACAUGAAAGAUGUCACUUUAGGCACAAUAUGAAGAACACCUACAUUUCAAAUACUGGACUCUUUUACAUACUCAGUUGGUGAGAUUAGAGAUAUUUAAUGUGUAUAGGGCGAGUGAGAAAGUUUCUGUGAUUAAAGAAGAUUGAAUAUGGCCUUGCUCGUGUAACUUUUAGAGGUUCGAUGUUUUGACAAAAAGGAUAGCAAUACACCUCAGCAGAACAAGUGCCUGCCUGGCAAGCACAAUGUCACAGUUUGAUUCCCGGUACCAAAAAAAAGAUUCUGACAGGAGAGGAACGUUUUUCAUUUUUCUCUGAG
RNAcentral lists this long non-coding RNA (1021 nucleotides) under Chinchilla lanigera (long-tailed chinchilla). RNAcentral describes it as "lncRNA (ENSCLAG00000029034.1)". Lineage: Eukaryota; Metazoa; Chordata; Mammalia; Rodentia; Chinchillidae. The record is from RNAcentral.